AUAUCUGCUCUGAAGGAAGCUGCUGUGGCUGCCCCUUUUUGAUGGCGCUGAAGGGUGGGUCCUGCGCAAUGGAUGUCCACGAACCGUGUCAGGUUGGGAACAAAGCAGCACUAAGAGGAAUUUUUCCAUGUGCCGCAGGGUCACCUGCCCCGAGUUAAUCAGAAGGGUAACGCAUGGCAGCUUCCUUUAGCGCAGA
This 196-nucleotide signal recognition particle RNA is filed under the name Lachnospiraceae bacterium OM04-12BH. Its description in RNAcentral is "signal recognition particle sRNA large type". It matches the Rfam family "Bacterial large signal recognition particle RNA", at positions 66 to 246 of the family's 256-position model. From Rfam's summary of the family: The signal recognition particle (SRP) is a universally conserved ribonucleoprotein involved in the co-translational targeting of proteins to membranes. RNAcentral also lists the same sequence under 2 other names. The record is from RNAcentral. Lineage: Bacteria; Bacillati; Bacillota; Clostridia; Lachnospirales; Lachnospiraceae.